Molecule: long non-coding RNA, 867 nt
Organism: Episyrphus balteatus (marmalade hoverfly)
Lineage: Eukaryota; Metazoa; Arthropoda; Insecta; Diptera; Syrphidae
Exons: 4
Source: RefSeq, a predicted model, not a curated record
ACCUCACUGAUGUCUCACAAGUCACAAUAACCUCAUAACUCCAGUUAAACUCGAUUUUGUGACUUUUUCGUAUUCUAACGAAAACCUCACAGUCACAAGAACCUCAUAAGGUGUGGAAACUCAGGACUAUCGUCACAGUAGCUUUUGCUGUAUCGAAAUCAAAUUCUCAUUGAAUCUGGAAAAAAGCCUUCAAUCAGGUUAAAACUAUCAAGAGUGCUCUCCUAAACAGUACGAGACGAACAAAAUAAGCCCAGAGUGGGCAACGUUAUUUUUGACCCAGCAUUAGGAUUUCAUGCGUGAGACUCAAACACCGUUGAAAGAAAGAAUUUACAAACUAGCUGCCAGUCCAGUGGACUGGUUGGUUACAAGAAACACAAAGCUGUGGAAGACAUCGAUUCUGACAAUUGUCCACCAUCUGUGCUGAAGAAGCUUUCCAAUAAACAAAGUAAUGCUUAAAAACCUGCGUCAAGCCACCGAAGUUGGUGUCAAUCGCAAACAACAUAAAAAGACUAUAUAGCAAAACGCUUAAAAGCAGCAGCGGCAACAUCAUCGACAAGUGCGCAUACAACAAUUACAACAACUUCAGUAUAUCAGCCCCAAACACCAAAUAUAAUAAACAGAGUCUAAUGACGUCCGCAGUUGAAGUUCCUUAGCCUAAUUGGCAAUUUUUAGUCAUCACAGGUUGACACAAUAAAUCAACAGGCCAAAAUCAGCCUCCAGUUGACCACAAGAUACAAAUAAGGCCAAUUGUCAAUGAUUCAGGCCUUUAAAUCAUUCCACACUACAACGGCCAACUCACAAUCAUCACCCACGGCAACAGUAGCAACAUCAGCAAUAGCAACAAGAAGCCAAUGCCAAAUCAUUAGC